UACGUAGGGUGCAGGCGUUAAUCGGAAUUACUGGGCGUAAAGCGCACGUAGGUGGCGACGUAAGUCGGGUGUGAAAGCCCCGGGCUCAACCUGGGAAUUGCAUUCGAGACUGCAUUGCUGGAGUACGGAAGAGGAGGGCGGAAUUCCCGGUGUAGCGGUGAAAUGCGUAGAUAUCGGGAGGAACAUCAGUGGCGAAGGCGGCCCUCUGGUCCAGUACUGACACUCAAGUGCGAAAGCGUGGGGAGCAAACAGG
RNAcentral lists this ribosomal RNA (253 nucleotides) under uncultured bacterium. Its description in RNAcentral is "partial 16S ribosomal RNA". It matches the Rfam family "Bacterial small subunit ribosomal RNA", at positions 524 to 776 of the family's 1533-position model. The record is from RNAcentral.